GACGAACGCUGGCGGCGUGCUUAACACAUGCAAGUCGAACGGAAAGGCCCUGCUUUUGUGGGGUGCUCGAGUGGCGAACGGGUGAGUAACACGUGAGUAACCUGCCCUUGACUUUGGGAUAACUUCAGGAAACUGGGGCUAAUACCGGAUAGGAGCUCCUGCUGCAUGGGGGGGGUUGGAAAGUUUCGGCGGUUGGGGAUGGACUCGCGGCUUAUCAGCUUGUUGGUGGGGUAGUGGCUUACCAAGGCUUUGACGGGUAGCCGGCCUGAGAGGGUGACCGGCGACAUGGGGACUGAGAUACGGCCCAGACGCCUACGGGAGGCAGCAGUGGGGAAUAUUGCGCAAUGGGCGGAAGCCUGAUGCAGCAACGCCGGGUGCGGGAUGACGGCCUUCGGGUUGUAAACCGCUUUCGCCUGUGACGAAGCGUGAGUGACGGUAAUGGGUAAAGAAGCACCGGCUAACUACGUG
RNAcentral lists this ribosomal RNA (468 nucleotides) under uncultured bacterium. Its description in RNAcentral is "partial 16S ribosomal RNA". It matches the Rfam family "Bacterial small subunit ribosomal RNA", at positions 28 to 507 of the family's 1533-position model. The record is from RNAcentral.